Tetranychus urticae (two-spotted spider mite) is the source of this 826-nucleotide non-coding RNA. NCBI's taxonomy places the organism in Eukaryota, Metazoa, Arthropoda, Arachnida, Trombidiformes, Tetranychidae. The record is from RefSeq and is a predicted model, not a curated record.
UUUGCCAAUGUUCAAUGAGCAAACAGUUGCUUCAUUUUUGUAAAAUUAAAAACUCGCUAAGUCAAGUGUAUAUGAUUAGUAUUACCUCAUUUAUAUUAAUUGUUGUUAAUUUUACCAUUGUAUUCGGAAAAUUGCGAAAGAUGUUCGACUUAAUUGAUUGGUUUUUUGUAUGAAAGCUAAAUAACCGAUGUCAAGGUAGUUAACAACAAUAGUGAUUUACCACAAUUUGUUUAUUGUUAAAAGACGAAUUGUUUAUUUGGAUCGUUUAGACUGGAUUGGAUUGUGAAAAUGGAGGAUUACCAUUACAGUUGCCGUAUCGGAAAACUCAUACAUACUGUACAUGUAAUUUGAUGAUUUGCUGCCUGUUAGUAAUUCAAGAUCUGCUGUUUUUAAUUUCUAUUUUCCUGAUCAUUGUGCUAUCCAUUUUAUCCAAGGUUAACAAUCACCAAUUACGCUUGUAUUGUUGGAACAAACAAGAAAAGCAAAAAUGAGAUUGAUUGAGAGACCUUUUCAACUUGUAAAUGACUCUAAUUUAGAUUGAAGAGAACCUUUAUGAAUGGCUUUAUUCAUGGCGAAAUUUUCAUCUUUUUCGUGUUUUGUGUUGGUGAUCAUUGAUGAUUGCGGAAAUAUUAUCACCAUUAUUAACCAAACUUCCGAUAUUAAUUUGAUUUCACACUUUUGUUUUAUCACAUCAAGAGUUUAAGCACGUUGAUUGAAUAAUCUAAUUUCUUCACCAUCAUCUUCAUCUUGUUCACCUUUCUACCUUUUUACAUGUACUUUAUAUACAUAUUGAUUAAUAUACUCUUUUAACGGUUUUGAUUAUUUA